This 67-nucleotide transfer RNA is filed under the name pig gut metagenome. It matches the Rfam family "tRNA". From Rfam's summary of the family: Transfer RNA (tRNA) molecules are approximately 80 nucleotides in length. Their secondary structure includes four short double-helical elements and three loops (D, anti-codon, and T loops). The record is from RNAcentral.
CUUGUAGCUCAGUUGGAUAGAGCGUCAGACUCCGACUCUGAAGGCCGCUGGUUCGAAUCCGGUCAGG